This 401-nucleotide ribosomal RNA is filed under the name uncultured bacterium. Its description in RNAcentral is "bacterial SSU rRNA". It matches the Rfam family "Bacterial small subunit ribosomal RNA", at positions 355 to 773 of the family's 1533-position model. The record is from RNAcentral.
UCGGGAAUUUUGCGCAAUGGACGAAAGUCUGACGCAGCAACGCCGCGUGAGGGAUGACGGCCUUCGGGUUGUAAACCUCUUUUGUCAGGGACGAUGAUGACGGUACCUGACGAAUAAGCCACGGCUAACUACGUGCCAGCAGCCGCGGUAAUACGUAGGUGGCAAGCGUUGUCCGGAUUUACUGGGCGUAAAGAGCGCGCAGGCGGUCGUUCAAGUCGCGUGUGAAAGCCCCCGGCUCAACUGGGGAGGGUCACGCGAUACUGAUCGACUCGAAGGCAGGAGAGGGUAGUGGAAUUCCCGGCGUAGUGGUGAAAUGCGUAGAUAUCGGGAGGAACACCAGUGGCGAAGGCAGGUCUCUGGGCCACUACUGACGCUGAGAAGCGAAAGCAUGGGGAGCGAAC